Molecule: long non-coding RNA, 2096 nt
Organism: Pistacia vera
Lineage: Eukaryota; Viridiplantae; Streptophyta; Magnoliopsida; Sapindales; Anacardiaceae
Exons: 3
Source: RefSeq, a predicted model, not a curated record
AAGGUUUGAGGAUCGAACCUUGGAAACUAAGUCAUGCCGCGAUUGGAGGUUCUGGUUAUUUCGACCUGAACGGAAGAAGCUCGGGACAGGGCCUUUUGCGAACACGACCUCGCAUUCUGCCCAAAUGACCUGACAAUCAUCAUCCCAGCGACCUGGAUUCGUCGGACGUUUCUUAUCGUGCCUUAGGGUUGGAGAUUCAAUGAACCUGUUUUCGCACUGUCAGGCGCUCUGCACGUGUUAAAGCGUCUGGUAGGCGCAUUAAAUGUGCUGUGUGCUGACCUGGCGUCAUCUUGACAGCAUUAAUUGCACGACACAUUUGAAACGGCGACCAUCAUCACAGCAUUGAAUGCGACGUGGGGCGCAUUUAAUGUAGAGAGAGAGAGAGCUGUCGUUUCGAUUCCGAGAGGUGGUAACCGUUGGUUCGCAGUCCAUAUAAAAGCUCACAUUUUUCAGAUGACGCCACCAAAAUCCCUUUUGCCUCGAGUGACAAGCCUUUGCAAACCGGAAGUUCUUCUUUUCCGAUUGGCGCCUCUCGGAUAUCUGAAAUAAGAUUCGGCCUUGGUCACGCGUCCCAGAAGUUAAUAGAACGACCAGCCAAGACCUGCUUGACGACCCGGAUAGGCUCAUGUCUUUUGGAGUCCUUCCCGAGGAAAGCCAGGACGCAAGGAAGCUCGUGACAACCGCGAACUUGCGAAAGUACGGUUUUAUCAGUAACAACGCGUCUUUAGAGCCCCUAGAAGCAACUAUGCCUCCGAAGGAGUCCGAGCAGCCUCGCCGAGCACCGUUCGUCCUACCUCAAUUGAGGAGAGAGAGAGCGGCCGAAGCUGCUCGUCCCAUUCCGGCACAACCGGUGCGAACAGCCGUGCCUUCCCACCCCCGUCCUGUGCAAGAAGCGACCAGGACAGAACAGGUCGCUCAGGCACCACUUGCUCGCCCAAGGCGGAAGGCUCCGGUCCAGAGGUCAAAGAAGAGGAAGCAGAUUUAGGUCGACAAGUCAGAGACCGAAUCUGAGGAAGAACCUUUGAGGUCGUUACAGGACUCAAGGAGGUCGGGCAAGGAACCCGUGAGCGAGGCGAUCCCUGCCGACAAGGCGAAGGACCCACCAGUGCUGGACUCAUUGGGGAGUCUACCCGAAUACCUGUAGCCGAUAGUCUAUUCUCUGCUCGAGUGUGGGCUAUCGGAGUCGUAUGAUGAGUUCGCUGAUACGGGCGACGACCUGAUGACCACGUUGUUCUAGCAUCUAAGCAAGGUAAACGAGCUAUACUUAAAGUUUCAUUCUAAUUCAUUUCUUGCUCGCAGGCUUUGCUUGCGAUGUGGAUGUCUAUGGAGAAGACUCGGCUGGGGGCCGCGAAGGGGCCAAGCGACCUAAAGGAGGAGGUCACGAAGCUGAAGUAGAGCCUGGACUCCGUCGAAGCAGAAAGAACACAAGCAUUCGAAGCGGCGAAUAGGUAUCUGAACCAAAAGGAUGCUGCUUUGCGAACAGUGGACUUCCAAAAGGCAGAGCUCGAACGACGUGCAGAGGAAGUGAAGGAACUUCAAAGGACAACCGCUAGGCUCUCUAAGGAGGUCGGAGAAAAGGACCAGGAGAUCCAGGCGACCUCCAUAUGGGCUCAACAAGCUGAACAGGAGAGGGAGGCCUCCGAAAAGGAAAGGCAAUCUCUUGAGGCCGAACUCCAGGACAGUCGGGAAAAAAUCGCUUCUCUGACUGAAGAAAUGCGGAUCCAGUCAGAGGAGGUGGAGGAUAAGGCUGCAGACUGGGCAAUCGGGUCUAUUUAUUCCCUGCGAUCAAAGAACCCAGAUCUGGACAUUUCUGAUCUCCCGGAGGGGUGGCAAGAGACCUUGUGGAUUCUGGCGGAGGAAGACGAUCAAGCAGCAGUGGCCACCCGACGAUCCGACCAGGCAGGGGGUUCUGGUCCUGCUUCGAAGGAUCCCCCCGACCAGCCAUAAUGUAACGAGUCUGACUCCAUUGAGAUUGGGUCUUAAUUUUUGUUUGUACAUAAAUGAAAAUACAUUUUGCUUUCAAUUGCUGUUCGCCUUUUCAUACAUAAGUACAGUUUACAAUCCAGGUUUACAUAGGCAAUUACAUACGAAUUCUU